AACCUAGCACACCUGCGGUGUGUACCUGCGGAGGGAUCAUUAACGAAUAAACCUGGUGGACUGUCGCUGGCUCUCUAGGGAGCAUGUGCACGUCUGUCAUCUUUAUCUUUCCACCUGUGCAAUUUCUGUAGACCUGGAGAAAAUCUAUUCUGAGGCAACUCAGUCGUGAGGAGUUGUAGGCGUAAAAGUCAGCUCUCCUUGAGUAUCCAGGUUUAUGUCUUUCACAUACUCCAAUGCAAU
Molecule: unclassified non-coding RNA, 240 nt
Filed under: soil metagenome
Description: partial contains 5.8S ribosomal RNA, internal transcribed spacer 2, and large subunit ribosomal RNA
Source: RNAcentral